CGAGCUGCUCGCUCCCUCCUUCGUCGCCGCUGGCGGGGUGGGGGAGGGGAGCUGCUGGAGUUGCAGGGGGCGGUUGACCCGGAGCCUGGCCAGGCUCUUCAGCGCGUUGGGGCCGCUGCGUCCCCAGGGGCCGCCCAGGGCCGGUCACCGCCGCCCAGAGAUCAUGGCGCCGACAAGGGCUGAGCGCGCAGCGCGUCCCGCUGGGCCAUGUCUCAUGGCACAAGGAAGCGGCGCUGUCCGAAGCUUGCGCCGCAGGGGGCCCACAGGGCUGUGCCCCGGGAGGGGAGCGAGCGGAUUGCGGGCGCUGGAAGAAAAAACAGGACAAACAUACAAAAGCAGAGAGAAAAGGACAGCAAAGAUACACAAUGCAGCUUCUGCCUCUGGGAGAAGCAGACAGGGAGCAGCAGUGCUGUAAGAAGCUUUGGGCCAGGUAUGAAAAAUCAGCAUCAUACCUAGAAACUACUCAUCUAAAACCCCAGAUAUCUCUUCUCUGAACCCUCUG
Long non-coding RNA from Gopherus evgoodei (Goodes thornscrub tortoise), 502 nucleotides. RefSeq lists it as uncharacterized. The transcript is spliced from 4 exons. Lineage: Eukaryota; Metazoa; Chordata; Testudines; Testudinidae. The record is from RefSeq and is a predicted model, not a curated record.